UACGAAGGGGGCUAGCGUUGCUCGGAAUCACUGGGCGUAAAGCGCACGUAGGCGGCCUCUUAAGUCAGGGGUGAAAUCCUGGAGCUCAACUCCAGAACUGCCUUUGAUACUGAGGAUCUUGAGUACGGGAGAGGUGAGUGGAACUGCGAGUGUAGAGGUGAAAUUCGUAGAUAUUCGCAAGAACACCAGUGGCGAAGGCGGCUCACUGGCCCGUAACUGACGCUGAGGCACGAAAGCGUGGGGAGCAAACAGG
This 253-nucleotide ribosomal RNA is filed under the name uncultured bacterium. RNAcentral's name for it is "partial 16S ribosomal RNA". It matches the Rfam family "Bacterial small subunit ribosomal RNA", at positions 524 to 776 of the family's 1533-position model. The record is from RNAcentral.